Molecule: long non-coding RNA, 690 nt
Filed under: Pongo abelii (Sumatran orangutan)
Lineage: Eukaryota; Metazoa; Chordata; Mammalia; Primates; Hominidae
Description: lincRNA
Source: RNAcentral
GCGGAAUUCUCCACGAGUUUUGAGCAGCGUCGGUUUUCCCACCACCUCCAAAUCAUGCAAUAAGAGCAAAGACAAGGUGGCUGUGGCCGAUGUCCACCCUCUCGGGACGUCCCUUCUCUUCUCUCCUCCUUGGGCAGGGAGACCAUCGGGGUGCAACCUGGCUGGGGCGGGGAGGAGGUGCAGGGCCUGGCCAGAGCGGGCCUGGCCACGGGCAAGGGACAGCGACGCCUGGGCCGGGGCAGGUGAGCGCGGCGCAGGCCCCGGCCCGCCGUGUCCGCGGUGCGCGCGAGCGGCCAGCAGAGGGCGCCAGAGAGCCAGGAGCGGCCCGCGGAGGAGCCCGCGCCGGCCCCGAUGCCCAGCUCCGCGCCGCGCGGACCCACCGAGCCCGCGCUCAGACGCUCCAGCUCCGCCGAGAGGCCGCUCGCGCCGGGUCCUUCCUCUUCCCCAAGUGCAGGCAGAGCCCCCGGAGCCAUGGCCAGCCCUUCCGGCAGCUCCGAAGCCACUGGCAAGCCCCGAGGCAGGGAUGGCCGGCCCAGGAGGGAGGAGGACGACGUCCCUCCCGAGGAGAAGAGGCUGCGCCUGGGGCUGGAGGGGGGAAGCGCACAGCCCGAGGACUGCGAGGACGGGGAGGACGCGCCGCGGCCGGGCAGGGAGGAGACCGGCACCCAGACAGGUGGCGACGGCAGAGGA